Molecule: ribosomal RNA, 482 nt
Filed under: uncultured bacterium
Lineage: Bacteria
Description: partial 16S ribosomal RNA
Rfam family: Bacterial small subunit ribosomal RNA
Source: RNAcentral
GAUGAACGCUAGCGGCAGGCCUAAUACAUGCAAGUCGAACGAGAUUAAGAGGCUUGCUUCUUAUGAAAGUGGCGCACGGGUGCGUAACGCGUAUGCAACCUACCUUAAUCAGGGGGAUAGCCCGAAGAAAUUCGGAUUAAGACCGCAUAAAAACACAGGAUAGCAUUAUCCAAUGUUCAAAUAUUUAUAGGAUUAAGAUGGGCAUGCGUGUCAUUAGCUAGUUGGCGGGGUAACGGCCCACCAAGGCGACGAUGACUAGGGGAUCUGAGAGGAUGACCCCCCACACUGGUACUGAGACACGGACCAGACUCCUACGGGAGGCAGCAGUAAGGAAUAUUGGUAAAUGGAGGGAACUCUGAACCAGCCAUGCCGCGUGCAGGAAGACAGCCCUCUGGGUCGUAAACUGCUUUUAUUCGGGAAUAAACCUUUCUACGUGUAGGAAGCUGAAUGUACCGAAGGAAUAAGGAUCGGCUAACUCCGUG